Molecule: ribosomal RNA, 509 nt
Filed under: uncultured bacterium
Lineage: Bacteria
Description: bacterial SSU rRNA
Rfam family: Bacterial small subunit ribosomal RNA
Source: RNAcentral
UAGUCCACGCCGUAAACGAUGGUCACUAGUUGUUGGGGCUUUAUGCCUCAGUGAUUAAGAGAAAUUGAUAAGUGACCCACCUGGGGAGUACGAUCGCAAGAUUGAAACUCAAAGGAAUUGACGGGGGCCCGCACAAGCGGUGGAGCAUGUGGUUUAAUUCGAUGAUACGCGAGGAACCUUACCAGGGCUUAAAUGUAAGUUGCAUGAUUUAGAGAUAGAUCUUUCUUCGGACUACUUACAAGGUGCUGCAUGGUUGUCGUCAGCUCGUGCCGUGAGGUGUCAGGUUAAGUCCUAUAACGAGCGCAACCCCUACCGUUAGUUGCCAGCAUGUUAUGAUGGGGACUCUAGCGGGACUGCCGGUGCAAACCGAGAGGAAGGUGGGGAUGACGUCAAAUCAUCACGGCCCUUACGUCCUGGGCUACACACGUGCUACAAUGGUCAGUACAGAGGGCCGCUAACUCGCGAGAGUACGCAAAUCCCAGAAAGCCGGUCGUAGUCCGGAUCGGAGU